Molecule: ribosomal RNA, 328 nt
Filed under: uncultured eukaryote
Lineage: Eukaryota
Description: partial 18S ribosomal RNA
Rfam family: Eukaryotic small subunit ribosomal RNA
Source: RNAcentral
CCCUUAGAUGUUCUGGGCCGCACGCGCGCUACACUGACUACUUCAACGAGUUGUUUCCUUGAUCGAAAGGUCUGGGUAAUCUUUGAAAGGUAGUCGUGAUGGGGAUAGAUCCUUGCAAUUUUUGAUCUUCAACGAGGAAUUCCUAGUAAACGCAAGUCAUCAGCUUGCAUUGAUUACGUCCCUGCCCUUUGUACACACCGCCCGUCGCACCUACUGAUUGAAUGGUCCGGUGAAUCUUUAGGACUGUGGCUGAGGCCUUGCCUUGUGCGGGUCUGGCCGUGGGAAUUUAGUUAAACCUUACCAUUUAGAGGAAGGUGAAGUCGUAACA